RNAcentral lists this ribosomal RNA (274 nucleotides) under uncultured bacterium. Its description in RNAcentral is "partial 16S ribosomal RNA". It matches the Rfam family "Bacterial small subunit ribosomal RNA", at positions 523 to 796 of the family's 1533-position model. The record is from RNAcentral.
AUACGGAGGGUGCGAGCGUUAAUCGGAAUUACUGGGCGUAAAGCGCGCGUAGGCGGUUGGGUAAGUCGGAUGUGAAAGCCCCGGGCUUAGCCUGGGGAUUGCAUUCGAUACUGCCCGGCUAGAGUAUGGUAGAGGGAAGCGGAAUUCCGGGUGUAGCGGUGAAAUGCGUAGAUAUCCGGAGGAACACCAGUGGCGAAGGCGGCUUCCUGGACCAAUACUGACGCUGAGGUGCGAAAGCGUGGGGAGCAAACAGGAUUAGAAACCCUAGUAGUCC